UGAUCAUAUCAAAAUCGUAUUUCGAUUUUGGAAGUUGGGCCUUUUUGAUGCUGGAAUAAUUGUUCUAGCUGGCCUGAAAUUUGCAAAUAGCAAUGCAGGAAAAUCAGCAGGUUUCAUUUCAAGACGAAAAGCUUAUUAGUUGAUUCUGGUCAUGUUUGCUGAUUAGUCUUUGAACAGCAUGUGAAUCUGCAUCAUA
Molecule: unclassified non-coding RNA, 196 nt
Filed under: uncultured fungus
Lineage: Eukaryota; Fungi
Description: sequence contains ITS2
Source: RNAcentral